RNAcentral lists this ribosomal RNA (897 nucleotides) under Fusarium equiseti. RNAcentral describes it as "LSU rRNA". It matches the Rfam family "Eukaryotic large subunit ribosomal RNA", at positions 34 to 961 of the family's 3401-position model. Lineage: Eukaryota; Fungi; Ascomycota; Sordariomycetes; Hypocreales; Nectriaceae. The record is from RNAcentral.
UUAAGCAUAUCAAUAAGCGGAGGAAAAGAAACCAACAGGGAUUGCCCUAGUAACGGCGAGUGAAGCGGCAACAGCUCAAAUUUGAAAUCUGGCUCUCGGGCCCGAGUUGUAAUUUGUAGAGGAUGCUUUUGAUGCGGUGCCUUCCGAGUUCCCUGGAACGGGACGCCAUAGAGGGUGAGAGCCCCGUCUGGUUGGAUACCAAAUCUCUGUAAAGCUCCUUCGACGAGUCGAGUAGUUUGGGAAUGCUGCUCUAAAUGGGAGGUAUAUGUCUUCUAAAGCUAAAUACUGGCCAGAGACCGAUAGCGCACAAGUAGAGUGAUCGAAAGAUGAAAAGCACUUUGAAAAGAGAGUUAAAAAGUACGUGAAAUUGUUGAAAGGGAAGCGUUUAUGACCAGACUUGGGCUUGGAUAAUCAUCUGGGGUUCUCCCCAGUGCACUUUUCCAGUCCAGGCCAGCAUCAGUUUUCGCCGGGGGAUAAAGGCUUCGGGAAUGUGGCUCCCUCCGGGGAGUGUUAUAGCCCGUUGCGUAAUACCCUGGCGGGGACUGAGGUUCGCGCAUCUGCAAGGAUGCUGGCGUAAUGGUCAUCAACGACCCGUCUUGAAACACGGACCAAGGAGUCGUCUUCGUAUGCGAGUGUUCGGGUGUCAAACCCCUACGCGUAAUGAAAGUGAACGCAGGUGAGAGCUUCGGCGCAUCAUCGACCGAUCCUGAUGUUCUCGGAUGGAUUUGAGUAAGAGCAUACGGGGCCGGACCCGAAAGAAGGUGAACUAUGCCUGUGUAGGGUGAAGCCAGAGGAAACUCUGGUGGAGGCUCGCAGCGGUUCUGACGUGCAAAUCGAUCGUCAAACAUGGGCAUGGGGGCGAAAGACUAAUCGAACCUUCUAGUAGCUGGUUUCCGC